RNAcentral lists this long non-coding RNA (828 nucleotides) under Androctonus crassicauda. Lineage: Eukaryota; Metazoa; Arthropoda; Arachnida; Scorpiones; Buthidae. The record is from RNAcentral.
UGUUACAGACCUCUGUAGUACCUUUUGGUGGAGCAGAGCGUUGCCCUUUGAUGGCAUAUGUCUGAGACCUAAGACUGAGCUGAGCUGAGCUGUUGGAUCUCAUUCUUCAACCUUCUAAUUGAUCUCAUCAUGACUGUUAGUCAGCCUGUGAUGAACUCUAAUAAUCAACUGAAUAAAGAAAUAAUGAUUAUUUUACUUGAUUGGGAAAACAUGUAAUUUUAAUGUUGAUCUAAGAUUGCAGAUGAUGAUCCUGACUUGCAGACAUGAAGAUGAAUUCCUGGCCUUCAGAUACGUAGAUGACGACUCCCUGGACUUCACUCAUGAAGAAGAAUGAUUCUUGGGCUUGCAGACACAUCCACUAUGGCUUUCUCUGCCUGCAGAUGUGUUGAAUGCAGCUCUCCCAACUUGGAGGCAUAUACAAGGCAGCUUCUGGUUUACAGUCACAAAUAUUGUUUACCGGCCUGCAGUCGUGAAGGUGAUGGAUUCCUAAUCUGCAGGGACAAUGGAAAUCUCUUCCUACAACUUAUAAGCUUUCUUUAAAAAAUUGGUUAAAAAAACAAAAAAUCAAAUAAUACUAAUUUAUAAAACUAACUGAAAAUAAAUAUACAAUUGUUAUUCUAUCAUACACGUUAUUAUUUUCAAUUAUAUGCAUGUUUUUAUAUUAAAUUAAUAAGAGUACUCACAAGUCAGUUCAACUGGGUUUGCUACGUAGCUUGCAAUAUCGAGUAUGAAUACUACAAAGAUUUUUUAAGAUGUUCACAAAAUGGUGAUCAUAUUUAUCAUCAUAAAUGCAUAAAUAUAUCAGAAACUAAUUACAAAAAAAAAAAA